This 320-nucleotide ribosomal RNA is filed under the name Streptococcus suis. RNAcentral describes it as "bacterial SSU rRNA". It matches the Rfam family "Bacterial small subunit ribosomal RNA", at positions 173 to 483 of the family's 1533-position model. Lineage: Bacteria; Bacillati; Bacillota; Bacilli; Lactobacillales; Streptococcaceae. The record is from RNAcentral.
CAGUAUUUACCGCAUGGUAGAUAUUUGAAAGGAGCAAUUGCUUUCACUAUGAGAUGGACCUGCGUUGUAUUAGCUAGUUGGUGAGGUAACGGCUCACCAAGGCAUCGAUACAUAGCCGACCUGAGAGGGUGAUCGGCCACACUGGGACUGAGACACGGCCCAGACUCCUACGGGAGGCAGCAGUAGGGAAUCUUCGGCAAUGGGGGCAACCCUGACCGAGCAACGCCGCGUGAGUGAAGAAGGUUUUCGGAUCGUAAAGCUCUGUUGUAAGAGAAGAACUGUGAGAGGAGUGGAAAGUUUCUCACUUGACGGUAUCUUAC